GACGAACGCUGGCGGCGUGCUUAACACAUGCAAGUCGAACGGAAAGGCCCUGCUUUUGUUGGGUGCUCGAGUGGCGAACUGGUGAGUAACACGUGAGUAACCUGCCCUUGACUUUGGGAUAACUUCAGGAAACUGGGGCUAAUACCGGAUAGUAGCUCCUGCUGCAUGGUGGGGGUUGGAAAGUUUCGGCGGUUGGGGAUGGACUCGCGGCUUAUCAGCUUGUUGGUGGGGUAGUGGCUUACCAAGGCUUUGACGGGUAGCCGGCCUGAGAGGGUGACCGGCCACAUUGGGACUGAGAUACGGCCCAGACUCCUACGGGAGGCAGCAGUGGGGAAUAUUGCACAAUGGGCGGAAGCCUGAUGCAGCAACGCCGCGUGCGGGAUGACGGCCUUCGGGUUGUAAACCGCUUUCGCCUGUGACGAAGCGUGAGUGACGGUAAUGGGUAAAGAAGCACCGGCUAACUACGUG
RNAcentral lists this ribosomal RNA (468 nucleotides) under uncultured bacterium. RNAcentral's name for it is "partial 16S ribosomal RNA". It matches the Rfam family "Bacterial small subunit ribosomal RNA", at positions 28 to 507 of the family's 1533-position model. The record is from RNAcentral.